This 222-nucleotide unclassified non-coding RNA is filed under the name plant metagenome. RNAcentral's name for it is "partial contains small subunit ribosomal RNA, internal transcribed spacer 1, and 5.8S ribosomal RNA". The record is from RNAcentral.
UUUCCGUAGGUGAACCUGCGGAAGGAUCACUAGUGAUUAAAUCGAGAGCGUCUUCAUUGACCUCUCACCCUUCACAUCCACAUACACCUGUGCACCGUUUGGCUCUUAUAAAAGACGCAAGUCUGCAAUGAGAGUCAUCAAUUUUAUACAUACCCCAGUCUUAUGAAUGUAACAGUUUUAAUAAACAUAAUAAAACUUUUAACAACGGAUCUCUUGGUUCUC